This 924-nucleotide unclassified non-coding RNA is filed under the name Zea mays. Its description in RNAcentral is "misc RNA Zm00001eb387230". The record is from RNAcentral. Lineage: Eukaryota; Viridiplantae; Streptophyta; Magnoliopsida; Poales; Poaceae.
CUGCUCGCGGCUCGCCUGCAGGUGCAGCCUGCUCAGCUCGCCAGGCGCCAGCGCGGUCGCCGACUCGCCGGUCGGGCCUCAGCAGUCAGCUCGCCAGCUCGCUGCUCCGCCUGCUCGCCAGCAGUCAGCUCGCUAGCUCGCUGCUCGCCAGAAGACCGCGCGUCCGCGCGGAAGACGCGCCUGGCGGCCUGGAGCCUGGGCGGUGGCGGCCUGGAGCCUGAGCGGCUCUGGCGUGUGGCGUCCCGCCGCCCGCGUCUCGGCGUCUGGAUGUGCUCGCGGCUCGCCUGCUCGGCGUCGGCGCGGCGGCGGCUGGACACUGGAGCUAACACGGCCGAACUGCAUGAACUCUCUGCGGCGCUGACCUUCGCCAGGCCAUACGCCUCAUCUUCCAUCGCAAGGACCCGACGUGCAUCCGCCCCUGCUGCUUAUUCUGCCACGGCGCCGGUCCUCCACCUCGCUCCUUCCGCCGUCAGGCCCUGGUCGCGGGUCUCCUCCGCUCUGAAUCUUCAAGCCGGCUACCGACGCUCGCCUUUGUUUUCGUGUUGCCGGCACCCAGUCCUCCUCUCCACGUCAGAGUCCUUGCCUCACCAUCAAGACGUCGUCGUCGCGCCGUCGUACGCUAACACGGCCGAACUGCAUGAACUCUCUGCGGCGCUGACCUUCGCCAGGCCAUACGCCUCAUCUUCCAUCGCAAGGACCCGACGUGCAUCCGCCCCUGCUGCUUAUUCUGCCACGGCGCCGGUCCUCCACCUCGCUCCUUCCGCCGUCAGGCCCUGGUCGCGGGUCUCCUCCGCUCUGAAUCUUCAAGCCGGCUACCGACGCUCGCCUUUGUUUUCGUGUUGCCGGCACCCAGUCCUCCUCUCCACGUCAGAGUCCUUGUCUCACCAUCAAGACGUCGUCGUCGCGCCGUCGUACGUUAUCUAG